UACGGGGGGGGCAAGCGUUGUUCGGAAUUACUGGGCGUAAAGGGCCAGUAGGCGGCCAACUAAGUCGGAUGUGAAAUCCCCAGGCUUAACCUGGGAACUGCAUCCGAUACGGGCAGGCUAGAGUUCGGUAGGGGAGACUGGAAUUCCUGGUGUAGCGGUGAAAUGCGCAGAUAUCAGGAGGAACACCGGUGGCGAAGGCGGGUCUCUGGGCCGAUACUGACGCUGAGGAGCGAAAGCGUGGGGAGCGAACAGG
This 253-nucleotide ribosomal RNA is filed under the name uncultured bacterium. Its description in RNAcentral is "partial 16S ribosomal RNA". It matches the Rfam family "Bacterial small subunit ribosomal RNA", at positions 524 to 776 of the family's 1533-position model. The record is from RNAcentral.